RNAcentral lists this transfer RNA (65 nucleotides) under Pylocheles mortensenii. RNAcentral's name for it is "tRNA-Arg". The record is from RNAcentral. Lineage: Eukaryota; Metazoa; Arthropoda; Malacostraca; Decapoda; Pylochelidae.
AAUUAGAAAGCGAAUUUUGCACUUAGUUUCGACCUAAAUUUUGGUUUAUAUAUAACCUCUAAUUA